GUCGAGCGGACGGAUGGGAGCUUGCUCCCUGAAGUCAGCGGCGGACGGGUGAGUAACACGUGGGCAACCUGCCUGUAAGACUGGGAUAACUCCGGGAAACCGGGGCUAAUACCGGAUAAUUCUUUCCCUCACAUGAGGGAAAGCUGAAAGAUGGCUUCGGCUAUCACUUACAGAUGGGCCCGCGGCGCAUUAGCUAGUUGGUGAGGUAACGGCUCACCAAGGCGACGAUGCGUAGCCGACCUGAGAGGGUGAUCGGCCACACUGGGACUGAGACACGGCCCAGACUCCUACGGGAGGCAGCAGUAGGGAAUCUUCCGCAAUGGACGAAAGUCUGACGGAGCAACGCCGCGUGAGUGAUGAAGGUUUUCGGAUCGUAAAACUCUGUUGUUAGGGAAGAACAAGUGCCGGAGUAACUGCCGGCACCUUGACGGUACCUAACCAGAAAGCCACGGCUAACUACGUGCCAGCAGCCGCGGUAAUACGUAGGUGGCAAGCGUUGUCCGGAAUUAUUGGGCGUAAAGCGCGCGCAGGCGGUUCCUUAAGUCUGAUGUGAAAGCCCACGGCUCAACCGUGGAGGGUCAUUGGAAACUGGGGAACU
RNAcentral lists this ribosomal RNA (598 nucleotides) under Cytobacillus firmus. RNAcentral describes it as "bacterial SSU rRNA". It matches the Rfam family "Bacterial small subunit ribosomal RNA", at positions 61 to 642 of the family's 1533-position model. The record is from RNAcentral. Lineage: Bacteria; Bacillati; Bacillota; Bacilli; Caryophanales; Bacillaceae.